This 1569-nucleotide ribosomal RNA is filed under the name Anomalurus derbianus. Its description in RNAcentral is "16S ribosomal RNA". It matches the Rfam family "Bacterial large subunit ribosomal RNA". The record is from RNAcentral. Lineage: Eukaryota; Metazoa; Chordata; Mammalia; Rodentia; Anomaluridae.
ACAAAAACUAGCCCAAACUUCCACUCACAUAACUAAAACUCCAUAUUAACCAAAACAUUUACAACCAUGAAGUAUAGGUGAUAGAAACAUGCAUCUUGGCGCUAUAGAAAAAGUACCGCAAGGGAAUGAUGAAAGAUUAUUUUAAAGUAAUAAAAAGCAAAGAUUUUACCUUAUACCUUUUGCAUAAUGAAUUAGCUAGAAUAAAUCUAACAAGGCGAACAUAAGCUAGAUACCCCGAAACCAGACGAGCUACCUAAAAACAGUUUUCAGAACGAACCCGUCUAUGUAGCAAAAUAGUGGGAAGAUUUCUAGGUAGCGGUGAAAAACCUACCGAGCCUGGUGAUAGCUGGUUGUCCAGACACGAAUCUUAGUUCUACCUUAUAUUUUACCCAAAUAAACAAAACUACACCUGUAAAUAUGAGGAAUAGCCUAAAGAGGGACAGCUCUUUAGACCAAGGAUACAACCUCCAAUAGAGAAUAAGCCCAAACAUAAUUGCUCAGUAGGCCUGAAAGCAGCCACCAAUAAAGAAAGCGUUAAAGCUCUACAAUACCUUUUUCCCAAUUCCAACAGCAAGUAAAAUUUCCUAUCCUUACAACUGGACAAUUCUAUAAAAUUAUAGAAGUAAUUAUGCUAGUAUUAGUAAUGAGAAACUAAAUUCUCCAAGCACAAACUUACAUCUCUUCAUCAACCAAAGAUAAUUAACACCAUGGUAGAAUAAACCACCUACAUCAACCUACCUACCAAAAAAAUGUUAAUCCAACAAGGGAGUGCUACCAAGGAAAGAUUAAAAGAAGUAAAAGGAACUCGGCAAACACAAACCCCGCCUGUUUACCAAAAACAUCACCUCUAGCAUAAAAAGUAUUAGAGGCACUGCCUGCCCAGUGACUUACGUUCAACGGCCGCGGUACUCUGACCGUGCAAAGGUAGCAUAAUCAUUUGUUCUCUAAUUGGGGACUCGCAUGAAUGGCCAAACGAGGGUUUAACUGUCUCUCACUUCCAAUCCAUGAAAUUGACCUUCCCGUGAAGAGGCGGGAAUAAUAUAAUAAGACGAGAAGACCCUAUGGAGCUUCAAUCUAAAACCCAACACUUAAAAUAAACUACUCCCAAGUAGCCAACCACAAAGUUCUCCUGAGUUAAAGAUUUCGGUUGGGGUGACCUCGGAGCACAAAACAACCUCCGAAUGAUCUAGGCCUAGACUAACUAGUCAAAGCAACAAUAAUCACAAAUUGACCCAUAAUUUGAUCAACGAACCAAGUUACCCUAGGGAUAACAGCGCAAUCCUAUUCAAGAGUCCUUAUCGACAAUAGGGUUUACGACCUCGAUGUUGGAUCAGGACAUCCAAAUGGUGCAGCAGCUAUUAAUGGUUCGUUUGUUCAACGAUUAAAGUCCUACGUGAUCUGAGUUCAGACCGGAGCAAUCCAGGUCGGUUUCUAUCUAUUAAAAAUUUCUCCCAGUACGAAAGGACAAGAGAAAUGGAGCCAACCUAACAAAUGUGCUCCCAGCAAACAGAUGAAUUAUAUCUAAAUCUAAUACUCACCUUACAAAUCCAAGCCCAAGAACAGGGCUAA